CAACCUGCCUUCAGGAUGGGGACAACAGACGGAAACGACUGCUAAUACCGAAUAAGUUCCAAGAGCCGCAUGGCCCAUGGAAGAAAAGGUGGCCUCUACCUGUAAGCUAUCGCCUGAAGAGGGGUUUGCGUCUGAUUAGCUGGUUGGAGGGGUAACGGCCCACCAAGGCGACGAUCAGUAGCCGGUCUGAGAGGAUGAACGGCCACACUGGAACUGAGACACGGUCCAGACUCCUACGGGAGGCAGCAGUGGGGAAUCUUCCGCAAUGGGCGAAAGCCUGACGGAGCAACGCCGCGUGAGUGAUGACGGCCUUCGGGUUGUAAAACUCUGUGAUCCGGGACGAAAAGGCAGAGUGCGAAGAACAAACUGCAUUGACGGUACCGGAAAAGCAAGCCACGGCUAA
RNAcentral lists this ribosomal RNA (403 nucleotides) under Dialister invisus. Its description in RNAcentral is "bacterial SSU rRNA". It matches the Rfam family "Bacterial small subunit ribosomal RNA", at positions 122 to 500 of the family's 1533-position model. Lineage: Bacteria; Bacillati; Bacillota; Negativicutes; Veillonellales; Veillonellaceae. The record is from RNAcentral.